Molecule: long non-coding RNA, 654 nt
Organism: Macrosteles quadrilineatus (aster leafhopper)
Lineage: Eukaryota; Metazoa; Arthropoda; Insecta; Hemiptera; Cicadellidae
Exons: 4
Source: RefSeq, a predicted model, not a curated record
UUUUGAUGGUGAUGGUGACUGACGACGUAGAUAGAUAAGCAGACAAUCAUCUAGAAUUUUUCUCUGAAGAGAAACAUUUGCACCAUUAUUUUAAGGUGUGGUGGAUGGUUGGAGGAGAUAUGACAUCGACCCUGGAAAGUUCUCUAGUUUCUUGAUGAGGACGCGUGAUUGUCUAGAGUCCACAGAGCGUUUCAGCACCACAGAACCUGCUUUGUUUCAGCACCACAGAACCUGCUUGUCUACUCUUGUGUAUCCUACUACGAGCCUUUAGAGAACAAGCAGCCCCGAUAUUGGGUGUGGUGUUGGUGGUUGGAGGAGAUACGGCAUCCACCCUGGAGAGUUCUCUAGUUUCCUGAUACUUUUUCUUUAGUUUCCUGGACUUGUGGAUCGUCUUGUGUCCACGGGGCGUUUCAGCACCACAGAACCUGCUAGUCUACUCUUGUGUAUUCUACUAUGAGCUGUUAGAGAACAAGCUGCCCAUAUUUGAUGUGACAAUUGGUGUUGGUGGUUGGAGGAGAUACAUUAUCGACCCCGGAGAGUUCUCUAGUUUCCUGAUGAGGACAUGUGAUCGUCUUGUGUCCACGGGGCGUUUCAGCACGACUGAACCUGCUAGUCUACUCGCGCGCAGCUACUACAAGCUGUUAGAGAACAAGC